GUUUGAUCCUGGCUCAGGACAAACGCUGGCGGCGUGCUUAACACAUGCAAGUCGAACGAGGUGUAUUUGGGGGGCAACCCCUGGAUGCACUUAGUGGCGAACGGGUGAGUAACACGUGGGUAACCUGCCCUCAAGACCGGGAUAACUUGCCGAAAGGCGGGCUAAUACCGGAUGCCGUGCCGGGGUGAAAUUUCCCGGCAUGAAAGGAUGGCGCAAGCUAUCGCUUGAGGAUGGGCCCGCGGCUGAUUAGCUAGUUGGUGAGGUAACGGCCCACCAAGGCGACGAUCAGUAGCCGGCCUGAGAGGGUGUACGACCACACUGGAACUGAGACACGGUCCAGACUCCUAUGGGAGGCAGCAGUGGGGAAUCUUCCACAAUGGGCGAAAGCCUGAUGGAGCAACGCCGCGUGAGUGAUGAAGGCCUUCGGGUUGUAAAACUCUGUCUUGCAAGAAUAAGGCUGCAGGGUAAACAAUCCUGCAGCUUGACUGUAUUGCAGGAGGAAGACACGGCUAACUCUGUGCCAGCAGCCGCGGUAAUACAGAGGUGUCAAGCGUUGUCCGGAAUUACUGGGCGUAAAGGGCGCGUAGGUGGGUGAGUAAGUCGGUUGUGAAAUCAUCGGGCUUAACCCGGUAACUGCAAUCGAAACUACUUGUCUUGAGUGCAGAAGAGGAGAGUGGAAUUCCCAGUGUAGCGGUGAAAUGCGUAGAUAUUGGGAGGAACACCAGUGGCGAGGGCGGCUCUCUGGUCUGUAACUGACACUGAAGCGCGAAAGCUAGGGGAGCAAACGGGAUUAGAUACCCCGGUAGUCCUAGCCGUAAACGAUGAGCACUAGGUGUAGGAGGUAUCGACCCCUCCUGUGCCGCAGCUAACGCACUAAGUGCUCCGCCUGGGGACUACGGCCGCAAGGCUGAAACUCAAAGGAAUUGACGGGGGCCCGCACAAGCGGUGGAGUAUGUGGUUUAAUUCGACGCAACGCGAAGAACCUUACCUGGGCUUGACAUCCCUUGACACCUGGUGAAAGCCAGGCUUCCCGCAAGGGACAAGGAGACAGGUGCUGCAUGGCUGUCGUCAGCUCGUGUCGUGAGAUGUUGGGUUAAGUCCCGCAACGAGCGCAACCCCUACUGUUAGUUGCCAUCGGGUCAUGCCGGGCACUCUAACGGAACUGCCGGUGUUAAACCGGAGGAAGGUGGGGAUGACGUCAAGUCCUCAUGGCCUUUAUGCCCAGGGCCACACACGUACUACAAUGGCCGGUACAGAGGGUUGCAACACCGCAAGGUGGAGCCAAUCCCACAAAGCCGGCCCCAGUUCAGAUUGGAGGCUGCAACUCGCCUCCAUGAAGGUGGAAUCGCUAGUAAUCGCGGAUCAGCAUGCCGCGGUGAAUACGUUCCCGGGCCUUGUACACACCGCCCGUCACGCCACGAAAGCUGAUUGUACCUAAAACCGUUGAGCUAACCCGCAAGGGAGGCAGAUGUCUAAGGUAUUUUUGGUGAUUGGGGCGAAGUCGGAACAAGGUA
This 1514-nucleotide ribosomal RNA is filed under the name metagenome. Its description in RNAcentral is "bacterial SSU rRNA". It matches the Rfam family "Bacterial small subunit ribosomal RNA". The record is from RNAcentral.